This 301-nucleotide ribosomal RNA is filed under the name uncultured bacterium. RNAcentral describes it as "partial 16S ribosomal RNA". It matches the Rfam family "Bacterial small subunit ribosomal RNA", at positions 509 to 807 of the family's 1533-position model. The record is from RNAcentral.
CAGUCGCCGCGGGAAUACAGAGGGUGCAAGCGUUAAUCGGAAUUACUGGGCGUAAAGCGCGCGUAGGUGGUUUGUUAAGUUGGAUGUGAAAUCCCCGGGCUCAACCUGGGAACUGCAUUCAAAACUGACUGACUAGAGUAUGGUAGAGGGUGGUGGAAUUUCCUGUGUAGCGGUGAAAUGCGUAGAUAUAGGAAGGAACACCAGUGGCGAAGGCGACCACCUGGACUGAUACUGACACUGAGGUGCGAAAGCGUGGGGAGCAAACAGGAUUAGAUACCCGUGUAGUCCCUGUCUCUUAUAC